GCGUCUGUGGUUCAGGGGUAGAAUUGGUCGUUGCCAUCGACUAGGCCGGGGUUCGAGUCCCCGCGGACGCA
Tulasnella sp. JGI-2019a is the source of this 71-nucleotide non-coding RNA. NCBI's taxonomy places the organism in Eukaryota, Fungi, Basidiomycota, Agaricomycetes, Cantharellales, Tulasnellaceae. The record is from the annotation of a GenBank genome assembly.